UACAGAGGGUGCAAGCGUUAAUCGGAAUUACUGGGCGUAAAGCGUGUGUAGGUGGUUGGAUAAGUUAGAUGUGAAAUCCCCGGGCUUAACCUGGGAAUUGCGUUUAAAACUGUUUGACUAGAGUAUUGUAGAGGAUAGUGGAAUUUCCAGUGUAGCGGUGAAAUGCGUAGAUAUUGGAAGGAACACCAGUGGCGAAGGCGACUAUCUGGGCAGAUACUGACACUGAGACACGAGAGCAUGGGGAGCAAACAGG
RNAcentral lists this ribosomal RNA (253 nucleotides) under uncultured bacterium. RNAcentral's name for it is "partial 16S ribosomal RNA". It matches the Rfam family "Bacterial small subunit ribosomal RNA", at positions 524 to 776 of the family's 1533-position model. The record is from RNAcentral.